Molecule: long non-coding RNA, 229 nt
Filed under: Elaeis guineensis (African oil palm)
Lineage: Eukaryota; Viridiplantae; Streptophyta; Magnoliopsida; Arecales; Arecaceae
Description: long non-coding RNA (EGUI_LNC008712)
Source: RNAcentral
UGUUGAGAUUCCCAAUGAAAGGAAGAAUCCAAAGUUCUUUAGGAAGCUUGAACUGGUGUCAGCCUAAAAAAGACAGGCCUAGGCUCCGUUCGUUGGUCCUUCGGCUCCGAUGGGUGGCAACGUCAAGGUUCCGACCAUCGAAUCUACUCCUGUGGCCGUAGGAGAUGAAAAUCUCCCUUCAAUCAUCGAAUCCAUAGUUCCACUGUUAGAGGCCACGAUGGGAGCUCCG